RNAcentral lists this ribosomal RNA (506 nucleotides) under uncultured bacterium. Its description in RNAcentral is "partial 16S ribosomal RNA". It matches the Rfam family "Bacterial small subunit ribosomal RNA", at positions 29 to 523 of the family's 1533-position model. The record is from RNAcentral.
AGUGAACGCUGGCGGCAGGCCUAACACAUGCAAGUCGAACAGCAGCACAGUGGAGCUUGCUCCAUGGGUGGCGAGUGGCGGACGGGUGAGGAAUACAUCGGAAUCUGCCCAGUCGUGGGGGAUAACAUAGGGAAACUUAUGCUAAUACCGCAUACGACCUACGGGUGAAAGCGGGGGAUCGCAAGACCUCGCGCGAUUGGAUGAGCCGAUGUCCGAUUAGCUAGUUGGCGGGGUAAUGGCCCACCAAGGCGACGAUCGGUAGCUGGUCUGAGAGGAUGAUCAGCCACACUGGAACUGAGACACGGUCCAGACUCCUACGGGAGGCAGCAGUGGGGAAUAUUGGACAAUGGGCGCAAGCCUGAUCCAGCCAUGCCGCGUGGGUGAAGAAGGCCUUCGGGUUGUAAAGCCCCUUUGUCCGGAAAGAAACGCCUCGGAUUAAUACUCUGGGGUAAUGACGGUACCGGAAGAAUAAGCACCGGCUAACUUCGUGCCAGCCGCCGCGGUAA